RNAcentral lists this long non-coding RNA (1598 nucleotides) under Homo sapiens (human). RNAcentral describes it as "HSALNT0301002". Lineage: Eukaryota; Metazoa; Chordata; Mammalia; Primates; Hominidae. The record is from RNAcentral.
GUGAUCAUGUGUUCUCACCUUUUGGCUCCCACUUACAGGAAGGAGGUGAUGAAGAGAGAAAGAAAGGAUGGAAGGAAGGAGGAAGUGGACAAUGAGCCCAGAGCCCUCACCUGAGUUCCAAACAUUUAAGUCAAACUGCCAACUUCAUUCUCCAUUUGGACGAUUUCUCAACAUGUACAAAACCAAGUCCUGAUUUUUCCGUGACCCCAAAUCUGUUCUAUCUGAAGCCUCCCUAUCUCAGUUACUGAGACAGAGUCUGUCUGUCUUUGUCACUCGCACUUCACGCUGGAGUGCAGUGGUGUGAUCAUAGCUCACUGCAACAUCAAACUCCUAGAUUCAAGCGACCUGAUCCUUCCACCUCAGCCUCCGGAGUAGCUGAGACUACAAAUCCUGGCUGAUGGAUGUAAUGAAGGCAUGAACUAUACUAGUUGAACAAGGAAAUGAACUUGAACCAAAUUGUGAAGUUCUCUGCAGUGAAAUAUUAAAGCUCUGCUGAAAGGACUUGGGAGUGAGCUGCCAGGCUACAGGGGAUUGAAUCGAAAGCCCCCUAAUGGUUAAAGUGUCCAUUAGCUUCUCUACACUUAGCAUCCAUCAGAGAGAAGACAGGCUGGGAGCCCCGGGCGAAUUUCUAACUAGCCUAAUGAGGAGAGAGAUUCUGGGAGCAAAAAAAGUUCAUUUGCUGAAUUUCCAGCAAGAAGUCACUUCAAUAUUGCUUCUAGGAAACACUGACAGGCUUUGUUGAUUAGCAAGCUAAACAGAGAAAAAGAUAACACUCAAGAAACUGCCUAUAUGUAAGAGAUUCCUUUGAGAACUUUCAAAUGGCUCCUUUCUACAAAAGACCUGAGAAUACUUAACCCCCCACCACUAGCACACUCAAAGCUCAAGGCAAAUGCAUUUUCAAGAUUGACAGGGUCUUGGACUCUGAAAGUCUUUGGACCCAAGAAAAAUCGUGUUAUCUAAGAGAGCAGUUAUUCUGACACAGACUGAUAUCAGGUGCCUGUGGCAUGAAACACGGAAGAGAAUAAUAGCAUCUACCUUAUAAGAAGACAUACUAUAUUCUGGACCACAUAUCUGAUAAUUCUUACAGCCCUUUAAAGAUAAUCAUAACUAGAAUAUUAUCUUAUUUUGUAGCUCAUAGAUGUCAAAAGACUAGCUCAUAAUUUUAUUGCGGAUACAUAGCAGAACCAAGAUUUGAACUCAGACCUGUCUCAUUCCACAACUCAUUUUCCUUGAAGUCAAUAGAUGCCACUGAUCUCUAAAUACCUACAAAAGGGGCUCGGAGGUGGAGAGGGGAUGUCUGAGGAGCCUUAGGACUACCACCCAAUGUUCUGUCUUUAGAUAGAGAUGCUAUCACCAAUCUCUCUUUCACACAUACUCCUCCUCUUCUCAUUUCUGUUCGUGUACUUGGUUCUCAGUGUAAGAUUUUGUUAGAAGAAAGAGGCAUGUUGGUAAAAUAAGAAAUAAUAUAUCAAAAAUAAAAUAAAAUUGUUUGAAAGUCUCUGCAGUGCUUUAACAAUGAAAGAAGUAUCUAUGCACACUUUAUAGUUUGCUAAAUACAUAAUUGAUUAAGUUAGAAGACUAUGUAGAGCUGCGGCGGG